Molecule: unclassified non-coding RNA, 348 nt
Filed under: soil metagenome
Description: partial contains 5.8S ribosomal RNA, internal transcribed spacer 2, and large subunit ribosomal RNA
Rfam family: 5.8S ribosomal RNA (bases 1-120)
Source: RNAcentral
GAUGAAGAACGCAGCGAAACGCGAUAGGUAAUGUGAAUUGCAGAAUUCCGUGAAUCAUCGAAUCUUUGAACGCAUAUUGCGCCCUCUGGUAUUCCGGCGGGCAUGCCUGUUCGAGCGUCAUUUCAACCCUCAAGCCCCCGGGUUUGGUGUUGGGGAUCGGCUCUGCCCUUCUGGGCGGUGCCGCCCCCGAAAUACAUUGGCGGUCUCGCUGCAGCCUCCAUUGCGUAGUAGCUAACACCUCGCAACUGGAACGCGGCGCGGCCAUGCCGUAAAACCCCAACUUCUGAAUGUUGACCUCGGAUCAGGUAGGAAUACCCGCUGAACUUAAGCAUAUCAAUAAGCGGAGGA